GAUGAACGCUAGCGAUAGGCUUAACACAUGCAAGUCGAGGGGCAGCACAAGGUAGCUUGCUAUCUGGGUGGCGACCGGCGCACGGGUGCGUAACGCGUAUGCAACUUGCCCUAUACAGGAGGAUAACCCGUCGAAAGACGGACUAAUACUGCGUAUGCUCACAACUUGGCAUCAAGUGGUGAGGAAAGAAAUUCGGUAUAGGAUAGGCAUGCGUCCCAUUAGCUUGUUGGUGAGGUAACGGCUCACCAAGGCAACGAUGGGUAGGGGAACUGAGAGGUUUAUCCCCCACACUGGUACUGAGACACGGACCAGACUCCUACGGGAGGCAGCAGUGAGGAAUAUUGAUCAAUGGGCGCGAGCCUGAACCAGCCAAGUCGCGUGAAGGAUGACUGUCUUAUGGAUUGUAAACUUCUUUUAUACGGGAAUAACAAGAGUAACGUGUGACUCCCUGAAUGUACCGUAUGAAUAAGCAUCGGCUAACUCCGUG
This 487-nucleotide ribosomal RNA is filed under the name uncultured bacterium. RNAcentral describes it as "partial 16S ribosomal RNA". It matches the Rfam family "Bacterial small subunit ribosomal RNA", at positions 28 to 507 of the family's 1533-position model. The record is from RNAcentral.